RNAcentral lists this ribosomal RNA (945 nucleotides) under uncultured bacterium. RNAcentral describes it as "bacterial SSU rRNA". It matches the Rfam family "Bacterial small subunit ribosomal RNA", at positions 57 to 1010 of the family's 1533-position model. The record is from RNAcentral.
GCAAGUCGAGCGGAGACAGUGAGUAGCUUGCUAUGAACUGUUUUAGCGGCGGACGGGUGAGUAACGCGUGAGCAACCUUUCCCAGACAGGGGAAUAACACACCGAAAGGUGUACUAAUACCGCAUAAGACCACGGGAUCACAUGGCUCCGGGGUAAAAGAUUUAUCGGUUUGGGGUGGGCUCGCGUCCGAUUAGGUAGUUGGUGAGGUAACGGCCCACCAAGCCGACGAUCGGUAGCCGACCUGAGAGGGUGAUCGGCCACAUUGGGACUGAGACACGGCCCAAACUCCUACGGGAGGCAGCAGUGGGGAAUAUUGGGCAAUGGGGGGAACCCUGACCCAGCAACGCCGCGUGGAGGAAGAAGGUUUUCGGAUCGUAAACUCCUGUCCUUGGAGACGAGUAGAAGACGGUAUCCAAGGAGGAAGCCCCGGCUAACUACGUGCCAGCAGCCGCGGUAAUACGUAGGGGGCAAGCGUUGUCCGGAAUAAUUGGGCGUAAAGGGCGCGUAGGCGGCUCGGUAAGUCUGGAGUGAAAGUCCUGCUUUUAAGGUGGGAAUUGCUUUGGAUACUGUCGGGCUUGAGUGCAGGAGAGGUUAGUGGAAUUCCCAGUGUAGCGGUGAAAUGCGUAGAGAUUGGGAGGAACACCAGUGGCGAAGGCGACUAACUGGACUGUAACUGACGCUGAGGCGCGAAAGUGUGGGGAGCAAACAGGAUUAGAUACCCUGGUAGUCCACACUGUAACGAUGAAUGCUAGGUGUAGGGGGUAUCGACCCCUUCUGUGCCGCAGUCAACACAAUAAGCAUUCCGCCUGGGGAGUACGGCCGCAAGGUUGAAACUCAAAGGAAUUGACGGGGGCCCGCACAAGCAGCGGAGCAUGUGGUUUAAUUCGACGCAACGCGAAGAAACCUUACCAGGUCUUGACAUCCACUUAAACUUACAGAGAUGUA